This 123-nucleotide long non-coding RNA is filed under the name Cricetulus griseus (Chinese hamster). Its description in RNAcentral is "SMAD5 antisense RNA 1 conserved region 3 (ENSCGRG00001004993.1)". It matches the Rfam family "SMAD5 antisense RNA 1 conserved region 3". The record is from RNAcentral. Lineage: Eukaryota; Metazoa; Chordata; Mammalia; Rodentia; Cricetidae.
ACUCCGGUUUGCAUGGCAGCGGCGAGCGGAGCCCAGGCCAACCUGGAAGCCAGGCAUGGCCGAACACUGCAGGCUCGAUCCUUAUCUCGGUUGUAAGACAGAGUUUCCUGAGCAGCUGGAGGU